GUAUUAGUACUGAACGGAAGAAAUCCAAACCUUUGUGAUUUGACUUUGAUUAGUGCUGCCUCACGCUGCAAGCAGUACUUCAGGAAGAAAGCUGAAUUUAUUGCUGUUGUUUCUCACUUCCCAUCGGCAACGCAUGGCAGCACCUAGCCUAAAGCUGACCAUUAUAUUUCAUUUAAGAAAAAGGUAUAGAAAAGAAAAAUACAUUUUGAUGUGUCUGCAUUUUGUCUACACUUCAAAGGCACUGGUAUUUUAUGGCCACUUUUUUUUUCUCACCCCCCCCCUCAGAUAAUGAUGUGAUCCCAUCAAGACAGAGUAAGGAAGCAGAGCGUGGUAGUGGCUGGGAAACAGGAGGUGACCAUCAAGUCCUCUGACUUCUCCUCAGUGCCCCUUGCUUUCCUGCAAAUAACUGCUGCUUCCCUGCAGAUAACUGCUGGCAAUGCUGAGCACAUCUGAAUGCUCCUGGUGUGGACCUCAAGCAAGUUUAGCUCAGACACAGUCUCAAAGUGUACUGUACAGCAAACAACAAAAUGAAUCAAAACCAAAGAACCCACUUAUAACAAAAAAUGUAUUUAUUUGUUCCUUACCAAGCAAAAUCACAUCUUAAGCUCUGCUCUCCUUGGGACUGAAGUGCUGCUAGAAAAGAACUAAGUACUAUUGUUCUGGUAGAGAAAAGGAGGUUGGGAAUGCUGAAACCACAGAAGGGAUGAAGAAUCAAAGCAAGAAACACCCAGGAUAUUGUUGUGACCUUGUAUCUCUGGGGAGAUGCAGGAAUCUGAAACAGUAGUUGAGAAACAAGCUGUCUGUUUGAGGGGAAGAUGGGGCAACCGCUACACUGGACGCACUUUGCUCUCUUAUCCGUACCCAGUUGCAGUAACUUCAGUGGGAUUUUACCACAUACUCACAGUGACUUUGGCCCAUUUGCAUGCCUGGAUGUGUGCACACGUGUUUCACAGAACUGCAGCUCAGACAACCAGGAUUUUCAAUGUCCUCAGGCAGCAAACCAGGCGAGCCAAAAACAAGUCUGCAGCUUCCUCAGUCAGGAAGAGGGGAGCUAAAUUCAGUCACUAA
RNAcentral lists this long non-coding RNA (1068 nucleotides) under Anser cygnoides (Swan goose). RNAcentral describes it as "lncRNA (ENSACDG00005002739.1)". The record is from RNAcentral. Lineage: Eukaryota; Metazoa; Chordata; Aves; Anseriformes; Anatidae.